Mangifera indica (mango) is the source of this 1048-nucleotide long non-coding RNA. RefSeq lists it as uncharacterized. The record is from RefSeq and is a predicted model, not a curated record. NCBI's taxonomy places the organism in Eukaryota, Viridiplantae, Streptophyta, Magnoliopsida, Sapindales, Anacardiaceae. The transcript is spliced from 2 exons.
UGUAGCUAAACCGCCUUUAAAGCUCAGAAUGAGAUGUUUGGAUAUAAAACUUUCUCUGUCCCACUGCAAGAUAAUAUUGUCCUGAAAGUGCAGAACAGAGCAGCUCAAAAACCCUAAAAAUCCAUAAUCCUCGACAGCCAAAAAUGGACGAUAGUUUCAGAAUUCGAGUUGACAAAAUCUUCGGCUCUCUUUCUUCAUCUCCGAAUCUGAAUUCCCUUUGGUCCCUCACUGAUGACGAAAUUGAAAAGAAUGAGUGGAACCGGGAGAAGGAAUAACCCGAACCCGAACCGAAGUCAUUUUUCGCUAACGUUCGAGAGAAGAACAAAACGGAGCGGUUCGGUGAAGAUCUUGAGAAGGACCUGUUAGAUUUGGAUGAUGGUUUAGACGACGAAGCAGAGGCACGUGAUUCACAAGGUUCAUCGAGCCGGUCUGCUAAGGCAGAUGAAUAUAACGAUGAAGAGUGGGAGAUAAAGUGUAAUAUUGGUUUGGAUUGUACGCUUGAUUACGAGGAACCAAACAUUUUGAUGUAAUCAAAGUCAAUAAGAUAAGUUCUGAUUUCCAUUGGGGCAAGUUCCACUACCAGCUUUGAAGGAUCAACAGGUCCUCCUCUCACGACCUUCCCUUCUGCUUCUGCAGAGCGAUCUACUUUCCAGGCUAACCUUCUCUUCUCCAUGGCGGAUCUUUCUUGAUUGGCAGACAGGUUCAUCUCUGUCAGUUUACUUAUCUGAAAAGAACAUUGGAGUGGAAUCAAAAUUACGACAUGUUUAAUCAAUUAAUAGAUUGUUUUCAAAAUCUACUAGUUAAUGCUCUUACCUUCUUGUCCGGAAAUAGCUUCUUUAACUCCACACUAGUCAUUACUGAGUAGUCUUUGUCCUCUCCAGUCUGCAGACAUUUAUCAUCUCAGAUGCACAAAUAUGUAAAAAGAUUUCCACAGAAUGAUGUUAUGUAGGAUUCAAAUUUUAAGCUUCCCACCAAAGUCAUAAUCUCAUAUUGUUUGAUUUUGAAGAAUCAAUGCACUGAUCCACCACCAGGAUCACCAAUUCUAACA